This 499-nucleotide ribosomal RNA is filed under the name uncultured Glomeromycotina. Its description in RNAcentral is "partial small subunit ribosomal RNA". It matches the Rfam family "Eukaryotic small subunit ribosomal RNA", at positions 591 to 1092 of the family's 1831-position model. The record is from RNAcentral. Lineage: Eukaryota; Fungi; Glomeromycota.
CCAAUAGCGUAUAUUAAAGUUGCUGCAGUUAAAAAGCUCGUAGUUGAAUUUCGGGACCAAUAUGUCGGUCGUGCCUCGGUACGUACUGGCAUCGUUGGUUUCUCCCUUCUGACGAACCAUGAUGUCAUUUAUUUGGUGUUGUGGGGACUCAGGACUGUUACUUUGAAAAAAUUAGAGUGUUUAAAGCAGGCUCACGCUUGAAUACAUUAGCAUGGAAUAAUGAAAUAGGACGUUUGAUUCUAUUUUGUUGGUUUCUAGGAUCGACGUAAUGAUUAAUAGGGAUAGUUGGGGGCAUUAGUAUUCAAUUGUCAGAGGUGAAAUUCUUGGAUUUAUUGAAGACUAACUACUGCGAAAGCAUUUGCCAAGGAUGUUUUCAUUAAUCAAGAACGAAAGUUAGGGGAUCGAAGACGAUCAGAUACCGUCGUAGUCUUAACCAUAAACUAUGCCGACUAGGGAUCGGAUGAUGUUAAUUUUUUAAUGACUCAUUCGGCGCCUUACG